This 26-nucleotide non-coding RNA is filed under the name Mus musculus (house mouse). Lineage: Eukaryota; Metazoa; Chordata; Mammalia; Rodentia; Muridae. The record is from RNAcentral.
CNGUACUGGUAGCCUGGCAUGGUGGG